UUGAACGCUGGCGGCAUGCCUUACACAUGCAAGUCGAACGAGGGCUUCGGCCCUAGUGGCGCACGGGUGAGUAACGCGUGGGAACCUGCCCUGUGGUACGGAAUAACUCCGGGAAACUGGAGCUAAUACCGUAUGUGUCCUGUGGGACAAAGAUUUAUCGCCAUGGGAUGGGCCCGCGUAGGAUUAGCUUGUUGGUGGGGUAACGGCCUACCAAGGCAACGAUCCUUAGCUGGUCUGAGAGGAUGAUCAGCCACACUGGGACUGAGACACGGCCCAGACUCCUACGGGAGGCAGCAGUGGGGAAUAUUGGACAAUGGGCGCAAGCCUGAUCCAGCAAUGCCGCGUGAGUGAUGAAGGCCUUCGGGUUGUAAAGCUCUUUCGCACGCGACGAUGAUGACGGUAGCGUGAGAAGAAGCCCCGGCUAACUUCGU
Molecule: ribosomal RNA, 431 nt
Filed under: uncultured bacterium
Lineage: Bacteria
Description: bacterial SSU rRNA
Rfam family: Bacterial small subunit ribosomal RNA
Source: RNAcentral